Molecule: non-coding RNA, 6020 nt
Organism: Coturnix japonica (Japanese quail)
Lineage: Eukaryota; Metazoa; Chordata; Aves; Galliformes; Phasianidae
Source: RefSeq, a predicted model, not a curated record
UAUAAAACCAUUAAGCAAGCUGCCUCUACUGCAGGAAUCACUAUACUAAGAGGAUUCUAAGAAGCUUUUCAUAAGUCCAUGUCUCAUUUAGAUUUCAUAACAGACAGAAAUGGAACUAGUAAUAAGCACAACACGAACACCCCUUUAUUUUUAAUUUCCUUCCCUGUUGUUGAGCUGUUUCAUAAUUCUUGGAGAUAAUUCAAAUUUUGUGAGACACCUUCAGUAAGAGUGAGCAGCUUGUGCACAGAAAACAGACACUUUACAGGUAUAAAUCUGCUAUUUCUGUUUUAAUUUGUUACCUGUAAAAAUGAACACAGCAGCUGCUUAUAACUGAGAUAUAGAAUGUUGUGAUGCAAGAUUUUGGAUUUCUAUAUUACGUAAGUUCUAGAGACUGCCCCUAUUUAAUAAAAAAUCUGAAUCCCUCCUGCUAGAUACUGUUUAGUCCUUUAAUUAUUCAUUAAUUUUAAGUUACUUAAAAUAAAGUUACAUCAAAUAUUUUCAAAAUGUAUGGUUCUGACUGAUCAAUUAUUUUUUGAACGUCCUUCAUUUAUUAAAAAAUAAUGAUCCCUGAUAUGAAACUCCUACAGUAACAGGAACUACGUGACAGACAGCCACAGCCACAGAAAUCUUAUGUCUUUCUUCUUCUAUUUCUAGCAGUGUCACAGCAAGAAAUUUAAUCUGUCCACGUCUCAGUUUACCCCUCUGUAAAACAGGCUUGGUACUGUUUCCUAUUACUCCCAAAGCUAUGGGAAGCUUACUGUAUCAAUUCAGAAUUCAUUACCUUCUUGCUGGAAGAGGUGCCCCAUGGGCCAGUCCCUUGGCUUGAUGAAAUCAAUGGGAACUUUGCCCCUGACUUCAGCAACAGCAGGAUCGACCUUUAAGCCCAGUGCAACAAGAAGAGCAGCAAAUUCAAAGCAAUGCUCACCAUUGUAACUGUGCUAACAAGUGCAAUAUAUUUAAAAUGUAUCUCAGAAGAUGGCCCUUUUUUCCCCCUCUCCAAUGAAUGCCAUAGGCUCUUGUUCAGUAACUCUGCUGUCCCUCUGGAGGAGAGAGAUUUAUCUGCAUGGAAAGAAUCCUGCUAAGAUCAAACACAAUGCCACAAAGGGGUCAAACUGAUCAAGUGCUCCUAAAAAAGCAGAAGAAUAAAACAAAAGAAUGCAUGAACUGGAUUUCAUUAUCCCACUCAUGGCAGCAGUUAAACCAUAGGUCAAGGCACAGUUCUGAAGCCUGUCCUGGUUUCUCGAUGCCUCUUUAGCUCAUGAGAAGCUCCAGCAGCCACUGAGGUCCCAUGCAGAGAGUGGUUUGUUAACAGCACAGUUGCCAGCUCAGAGCCCGGACUACAGCCAUUACCCCCUUCAGGAACUACAAAGAUAAACUCACCUACAUGUAAGAGCUAUAGUGUAUCAGAUAUUGCACAGAUUCAAUAAAUGACAAUUCAAUAAGCAUAUAACCAUUAUGGACCAGCAUCCCUCAGUGCCUAUACGCAGACCAAAGUCUGAACUGAUCUCUGCAAGUCAACCCAGAACAAGAGCUCUUCAGUCACACUCCUUAAACAAUUCCUGCACUGUAAAAACCAACGUAUUCAUUCCUCCCACUUUGUGCAGUCUGAUUUACAGAUUAUCAUAUGGUCAUAUCAGCAUUUCCCCAACUGCUGGUAUUUGACAUUUAUCCUAUAGCUUAUUCUGCGCCUAUAUAGCUGGCUAGCUGAUCUCAUAUGACUGCCAGUCAACGCUCAGAAACAAGAAGUCAUCCAGGUUGACUUGCACAACUACACAGCAGUGCCACCAAUAGUGUCUUAAGAGCUAUAUGCAAUGCAAGCAUAGCACAAAGAGAGAAAUCACAAAAACAUAACAUUUGCAUUACAGUUUCACAGUCAUUUCCAUAAGCACUUGAACUAUCAUGCAUAUACCACGGUGAGACUGAAACAAACUGAAGUUUCAACAUUUGAAACUGUUAAAAUGAGUCAAAAUGGGGAAAAAAUCUUGAUUGAUUGAACCAUCCGGAGUCUUUGCACAGAUCUUCAUGCUGGCAGAUGCAGGGAUGUAAUUGCCACAGGAACUUAAGAUGGAGAAGUGAACUUUUGGCUUUUAAGAAAACACUCUUCAACAAAGCGCUAUUUUGAGCUUUCUUCAGAUGUAUUAUUCUUAUACUUUGAAAACUGCUUCGAGGAAGAUACCUAAGUAUAAUCACUUUCUUCCUAGAAGGAAACAUUUAUCUCAUCUAAACACUUUUAGUAGUUGCUACUUAGAAGUCUUUUACUGCACGUUUAUAGCAAUAUAUUGACACAGCUGGGAUCUGGUUUCCAGAAUUCCCCAAGAAAAAUAGCUGACUGAAGUCCCCAGUAACCACAGCUCCAACAGGUCAGAAAGAUCUCUAAUUCAAUUCAUGCUUUGCUGCUGAAAUCACCUACAGAAAGCCUUUAAAAUGCCUCCUUUUAUACUCUGCUGAUUCUUCUUCUCAAACAGAAACCUGUCUCUAAGCAGGUAGUCUUCCCAGUUUCUUUCAGUAACUACUAGAGAGUGCAUUUUCAGCUCCACAUGUUAUGAGUUAGACAUGCAACUCACAUUGUUACCUUCAUACCAGUGGGUGUUGUGAGCCUAAUUUAUAAGGUACCAUACUUUAAAAGUUCUAUCUCCGUAGCUCUUGUGCUCUGCAUCUUAUUCUAAAGAGCAAUGGAUAUAUAUAUUAUAUAUAUAUAUAUCUAUCUCUGCCAUCUAAAAGAUUAAUAGCAAUAGUACUUAUUACAUAUGGAUCAUUAAAAAAUAAAGACAAUUAUUCAAGACACAACAAGGAAACAAAUACUUUCUUGAAAAAGUCUUCUUUCUGAUUAUAAAGUUUCCCUACUGUCUGAGAGGCCCCCAACAUCACAUGCAGAAUGGAGAGGAAAAAGGCUUCUCUUUAAACACCCCCUGAGCUAACACGGUCUACCAGGAUUUCAGUGAAGACAGCAGGAAUCUGAAAAAUGGUCCUGUUUUAUACAUGCUAUUUCCUGUACUACUACUUGCUAGAAAUGUUGGAUUUUUUUCCAUCAAAAAGCCAAAGAGAUCCAGAGAAGCUGAACAGUAGUAAUUCCUAAAGCAUAUGGUAAGACACAGAAAUGCACUGUCUUCCACCCUAUCCUGCUGUCACAGUCUCAUGACCUUGUAAACUGCAUCACCAAAAAGACCACAAUUGAAAAUAAGCUCUUUGGGAAAGAAAUGAGGUGGAUACACCCUUAGGCAAUUAGAGACACAUUAACUCUUAGCAGCGCAACAUGUGUGUCUGAAAGAGAUCAACGUUCUAACAGCAUCCCUGAUACAAUUUCACUACUUCUGGUCGCAUACAACCACAGUAAACUGUCCAUAUCUUAAUUUGGAGACCCCUAGUUUUAGAAAAAGUUCUUGAACUUCUCAUCUUUUGUAUCUAUCUAAAGUUAGGUAAAUAGGGAAGAGUUACUGAUUUAAUUUUCUAAGUCACCUCACCCUCUCUUAAUAAAACCAGGGCAAAUUAGUGCAUUUUCAGGUGCAACAGAGCAAAGGUAAGCUACAAGGCUUCCUGACCCCACAGCAGGCAAGUGCAGAGAGGCUUUGGCCAUGCACAUACUUCAGGGAGCAUGGGCAAGGGAUACUGUGACUGCUUCAUCACCCUCUUCCCUCACUGCCUUGAGCCACAGAGUCCUGGUCAAGCUCUUGUAUCCUCCAGGAAGUGAUCCAUAUCAAAAUGAUGGAAAACCUUCUAUUAUUUCUCAUGGAUCAGCAGUGAUUUCACUACUGCUGUUGGCCACAAUUGCCUUCAGGCUCUGCUGUACCAUGUGAAACACUGAGAACCUCACUCUUCCCGCAGCAGUGGCUCAGGAUUUAGUAGCCAAGAUGAAGGUCUAUGUCUGGAGCAGAAUAUGCUGACUUCUUAAUUCUCACUGAAAUGAGCAUAUUGAUAGGAAAUUAAGAGACUGAAUACUUGACUGAAUGUUAACUCAAGAGGGUGUUUCUAUAUUUGAUCUGCAAGUUUAAAAUGGCAACAAGGACGUGUUUCCCACAGCUGCAAUUCAUCAACACAAAACAGCUGUCAUCUCAUGCAAGCAAAUCAGAAGUUUCUAUGGUGAAAGAGAAAUGCAAUUAGUUUGCAUUACGUCCGGACUGCUAGAAGUAAAGCUUAACUUAAAUGACAUGUCAUUUGAAACUCUGGGUUUAGGAGAUCACCACAACAACCAAAGAUAGAAUCAGGAUGUAACCUAUUUUCUGAACCAUUUUCAGAGAUUCUUCGCAUACUCAAACAUACUCCAUAUACAAGACUGGAAAAUUAAAGAAAGACAUACAUAAAGAUUUAUUUUUUUUUCCUGAUUAAAAACAACACUUUUUCCAUGGUGUCAUCAGAAUCUCUAACUUAUAACCUGCUGAAGAUCUCUCUCUUUCUAAUCUUUCUAGAACUUGUUUUUUUUCCUCUGUGAGAGAGGCUACAAUGAAAGGCAACAGUUAGCAGCAGUUAGUACAAGUCUACACAACACACACAAUACACACGUGACACACACACAAUACAGCCCACAGGGCCAAAUUCUACCUUUGUCAUCCAUGAAAAGUUCCAAAGGGAUCCAGGAGAGAACCCACCUCCAUAAUGUUUUAAUGUUACAACUAAUUAUUAUAAAGAUUUUCUGGAAGUUAUUCAUAAUUAAUGUUUGUCCAGGUAAACAAUUAAAUUAACUCAUCUUCAAUGUAUUCAAGAAGUAUAUUCUAUCUUGUAGCAGAGGGCAUACUGAUAACAAAUACGUCCAAUAGAGGGUCCAAUAGAGUGAAGAUUCCAUUUUUUUUCAGCCUUCUUUCAAAUGUUUUUCUAUUUUUUUUCUUUUCUUUUUUUCCCUUUUCCUCCUAUGCUGUCUUAACUUGGCUCAAGUGAAAAAAACACACCCCCAUUUCUUAGAGUGAAAGAAACGAGACAGAAUUCAGAAGCCGUCUCCAUUCCAUUGCUGGUCUCGCCACUCAAACUGUUGUCAAGUCUACCAAUUAAACUGGUAUUUCAUGCUGUUUAGCCCCAUUGCCUAUAAACAUCUGGUUGAUGUUCCAUUCACAUAAAUUCCAGCUAACUACUUGCAGAUGAAGAAACAUUUCUCUAUCCAAGGAAAAUUUUUAGAAAGCUCAGUAGAAUCUACUGCCAACCACAUUGUGUUUUUUCAGAUUGUGGAAAUCUUGCCUGUUUUGUUUUAUUUUAAAAGUUAACAAUAACGUUUAUAAUAAGUAAUGACAUUAUAAUUAUGCAGAGCAUGACAACAAUGAGCGUUCACACCCAAAUACGCAGUUUAUCUCUUCAGCCUUAAGGACCUGGGUCCAAAUCUGCCAGCACACCUUAACACAUGCUACAGCACAGGCACAUGCUCUAUCACGUUCAGGUUUGUACGUGAAUGGAACUCAGAUCUCCAUGCAAAAUGCAUGCAUUCGUUCAAGAAGAAGAGCCAAUAUCCAACUAACAUGCAAAAAUUAAUUUUCCACAUACACAAAGGCAGACAUAAGACACAGCAUGCUAAGUUUUGACGUGUAAAUUUUAACGAGGUUUCAGUCACCAAGCAAAUCUUCAACACAACAGUUCCACAUUCUAUUAGCAAAUAAAUAUAAUUCAGUAAAAUAUUUGAAGGUAUUCCAAGGGUAUCGUCUUCAAUGAAAAGGAUGAACUUUUUAUUUUGUCUUUUUUCCCAUUUAUUCCAACAUAAUGAUUAGAUAAUUGUUAUAAACCAAAACAAUUUAGCAAUUACUCAAGAUAUUUAAAAUUUAAAUCCAAAUUACACAAACCUGUAUUUUGUAACAAGUGCUGAUAACGGGACACUAAAUAAAUAUGGAAAGUUUUUCUUAAUUAGUCUUUAUCAAGCCAUUAUUUUUCAAAUAGCAUGGCUGUUUAAAGCCACUGCCAAGAAGCUCAGGUGUAUUUCACAUUCCAGUGUGCUACUAACAGGAAGUGGGGGGAAGAAAAUGGGAGGUAACACAGUCACUUACAUAACAAAAAACCCUAACUGAAAGAAAUAAAAUAGUUUUUGCCCGAAUAUUCAUUGCACUGAC